Papaver somniferum (opium poppy) is the source of this 928-nucleotide long non-coding RNA. RefSeq lists it as uncharacterized. The transcript is spliced from 2 exons. The record is from RefSeq and is a predicted model, not a curated record. NCBI's taxonomy places the organism in Eukaryota, Viridiplantae, Streptophyta, Magnoliopsida, Ranunculales, Papaveraceae.
GGAUAUUGAAGUUUGACUAAAGUCAACCUGUCGUUGACUGACGGCGUUGAUUGUUAACCGGACUUGACCGGACCUCUUCACUGAAUGAACCUCUCCAUAGUAAAAAGGUUAUCCCUUAGUAAUUUAUUUAAUACUAAAUAGUAAGACCUUAAAUGGAAAUUAAAAAUAUCGUGUUUUAUAACGAUUUUUGGAAGAUGAUUCAUCUCUUCUCUAUUCUUCUCAUGUGUCACCUAGUUUUAAGAUAGGAAGAGAGGAGAGGGAGACAGAGAGCUAGUGAGAAAGAGAGAAAGAAAGAUAGGUAAGUAUUAGUAGAGAUGGAGAAGGAAAUGAAUAGGAGGAGUAGAAAAUUAGAGAAUAAAAUGAUGACAUAAUCAUGGUGAUGAUAAUUGAAAGAAGUUGAGGCGGAUUAGAGAUUAGAGUGAGUAGUUAGUGAUUAAGAGAAACCAUGGUAGAAAUAUUUUAAGAUAGUGUUGUAUGAGGAGUAGAAGAAGGAGUGUUCUUGAUGAUAUAAUUUGGUUAUGAAGGGUUCAUGAGUUUUUAUGAUGGAGAUGAUGGAAAUGAUGAAAACUUGAUAAACAAUCAAGUUAGACUAUAUUAACAACGAUUAUUCGAAGAAUGAACCAGUGGAUCGAAGAAAUGCAAGGUAGGCGUGGCUUGUCAUCAAAUCAGGUGGGAACUCUAUAACCUUCUUGUAAUCAUUAAGUUUAUAUUAUCUGCGAGCAUGCUGAGUCUUUAAUUUCUGUAAGCAUAUUGUUUGUAAUUCAAUGGGUAUGUUGUGUAAUAUGCGUUGGGUGGUUUCCCCGCGAAGAGUGUCUGUGUUUCCCCAUAGCUCUUGGCUAAGUUUAGUAGGGCAAUGCUACGUUGUUUGAAUAUUACCUAGUAGCCCGGCUUUACCCCGGAUAAAUAUUAUUACAUUUUAUUGUCUUAA